AAGUCGUAACAAGGUUUCCGUAGGUGAACCUGCGGAAGGAUCAAUGCGAGUGCGAAACAGUGUGAGGUGUUGGAAUGUGUGAUGGACCAGAAAGGACUCUAUUCGUUUCAUGUUGUAUAUGACUUGCCACCCGGGAUCUCUGGGCUCUU
RNAcentral lists this unclassified non-coding RNA (149 nucleotides) under fungal sp. RNAcentral describes it as "partial internal transcribed spacer region". The stretch from base 1 to 46 matches the Rfam family "Eukaryotic small subunit ribosomal RNA", at positions 1786 to 1831 of the family's 1831-position model. The record is from RNAcentral. Lineage: Eukaryota; Fungi.